ACCCUUUAAUGUUUGAUGUUCUAACGUGGACCCGUAAUCCGGGUUGCGGACAGUGUCUGGUGGGUAGUUUGACUGGGGCGGUCUCCUCCUAAAGAGUAACGGAGGAGCACGAAGGUUGGCUAAUCCUGGUCGGACAUCAGGAGGUUAGUGCAAUGGCAUAAGCCAGCUUGACUGCGAGCGUGACGGCGCGAGCAGGUGCGAAAGCAGGUCAUAGUGAUCCGGUGGUUCUGAAUGGAAGGGCCAUCGCUCAACGGAUAAAAGGUACUCCGGGGAUAACAGGCUGAUACCGCCCAAGAGUUCAUAUCGACGGCGGUGUUUGGCACCUCGAUGUCGGCUCAUCACAUCCUGGGGCUGAAGUAGGUCCCAAGGGUAUGGCUGUUCGCCAUUUAAAGUGGUACGCGAGCUGGGUUUAGAACGUCGUGAGACAGUUCGGUCCCUAUCUGCCGUGGGCGCUGGAGAACUGAGGGGGGCUGCUCCUAGUACGAGAGGACCGGAGUGGACGCAUCACUGGUGUUCGGGUUGUCAUGCCAAUGGCACUGCCCGGUAGCUAAAUGCGGAAGAGAUAAGUGCUGAAAGCAUCUAAGCACGAAACUUGCCCCGAGAUGAGUUCUCCCUGAGACUUUAGGUCUCCUGAAGGAACGUUGAAGACGACGACGUUGAUAGGCCGGGUGUGUAAGCGCAG
RNAcentral lists this ribosomal RNA (682 nucleotides) under Salmonella enterica. RNAcentral describes it as "partial 23S ribosomal RNA". It matches the Rfam family "Bacterial large subunit ribosomal RNA", at positions 2202 to 2878 of the family's 2925-position model. Lineage: Bacteria; Pseudomonadati; Pseudomonadota; Gammaproteobacteria; Enterobacterales; Enterobacteriaceae. RNAcentral also lists the same sequence under 1 other name. The record is from RNAcentral.